UAAGGUGUGGUUAUGCUUUGGAGAAAAAAAAAACUCCGAACUGUGGACGAAGCACUGGAGAAAUUUGGUUGGAUGAAGUGAGAUGUUCGGGUAAUGAGAAGUAUCUCUGGACAUGUCCUUCGGCGCUGUGGGGCGAUCAUGACUGCAGCCAUAAAGAAGAUGUGACAGUGGAGUGUUCCGAACACAAAGAGAUGCGCCUUGUGAAAGGAAAACACAGCUGCGAAGGGAGAGUGGAAGUGCGGUACCAUGGGAGAUGGGGAACAGUUUGUUCCGAAGAACUGGAUAGUGAAGCUGCGAAUGUGAUCUGCAAGCAAAUGAACUGCGGAACCUUGGAAUCUAUCGACUAUUACUCCCAGAAAUACGAAAAAGGAUCUGAUCCAAUAUGGCUGGAUGGAAUAAAAUGUCUCUCGUACGAGUCGACUCUUUGGCAGUGUCAUGCAAAACCUUGGGGGAAACACGACUGUCAAUAUAACUCACAUGCAGGUGUUGAAUGUAAAGAGGCCAAAAAACCGGACCGGUCCAGUGUAAAGGUUUGCGAAGCACGCAAUAUAUCUCAACCUGUUUAUGCAGCAG
Molecule: long non-coding RNA, 573 nt
Organism: Hypanus sabinus (Atlantic stingray)
Lineage: Eukaryota; Metazoa; Chordata; Chondrichthyes; Myliobatiformes; Dasyatidae
Exons: 3
Source: RefSeq, a predicted model, not a curated record